RNAcentral lists this ribosomal RNA (329 nucleotides) under uncultured eukaryote. RNAcentral describes it as "partial 18S ribosomal RNA". It matches the Rfam family "Eukaryotic small subunit ribosomal RNA", at positions 1470 to 1796 of the family's 1831-position model. The record is from RNAcentral.
CCCUUAGAUGUCCUGGGCCGCACGCGCGCUACACUGAGUGUCUGAGAUACGAGUCUGCCUGGUCCGGCAAGGUCUAGGUAAUCGCUAAAAGACACAUCAUGCUUGGGAUAGAUUAUUGCCAAUAUUAAUCUUGAACGAGGAAUUCCUAGUAAGCGCAAGUCAACAGCUUGCGUUGAUUACGUCCCUGCCCUUUGUACACACCGCCCGUCGCUACUACUGAUUGGAUGUUUAAGCGAGGUUCUCGAACUGCUAGCGACUUAGCUUCGGUGAGGUCGCAGUGUGGGAAGUGAACCUAGCUUUGGUGUCUAGAGGAAGUAAAAGUCGUAACA